CCCCUUUGUGGUCGGUGGACAGGUGGUGCAUGGUUGUCGUCAGCUCGUGUCGUGAGAUGUUGGGUUAAGUCCCGCAACGAGCGCAACCCUCGUCCUAUGUUGCCAGCGGGUCAUGCCGGGGACCCAUGGGAGACUGCCGGGGUCAACUCGGAGGAAGGUGGGGAUGACGUCAAAUCAUCAUGCCCCUUAUGUCUUGGGCUUCACGCAUGCUACAAUGGCCGGUACAAAGGGCUGCGAUACCGCGAGGUGGAGCGAAUCCCAGAAAGCCGGUCUCAGUUCGGAUUGGGGUCUGCAACUCGACCCCAUGAAGUCGGAGUCGCUAGUAAUCGCAGAUCAGCAACGCUGCGGUGAAUACGUUCCCGGGCCUU
This 368-nucleotide ribosomal RNA is filed under the name uncultured Cellulomonas sp. RNAcentral describes it as "bacterial SSU rRNA". It matches the Rfam family "Bacterial small subunit ribosomal RNA", at positions 1016 to 1382 of the family's 1533-position model. The record is from RNAcentral. Lineage: Bacteria; Bacillati; Actinomycetota; Actinomycetes; Micrococcales; Cellulomonadaceae.